This 468-nucleotide ribosomal RNA is filed under the name uncultured bacterium. RNAcentral describes it as "partial 16S ribosomal RNA". It matches the Rfam family "Bacterial small subunit ribosomal RNA", at positions 28 to 507 of the family's 1533-position model. The record is from RNAcentral.
GACGAACGCUGGCGGCGUGCUUAACACAUGCAAGUCGAACGGAAAGGCCCUGCUUUUGUGGGGUGCUCGAGUGGCGAACGGGUGAGUAACACGUGAGUAACCUGCCCUUGACUUUGGGAUAACUUCAGGAAACUGGGGCUAAUACCGGAUAGGAUCUCCUGCUGCAUGGUGGGGGUUGGAUAUUUUAGGCGGUUGGGGAUGGACUCGCGGCUUAUCAGCUUGUUGGUGGGGUAGUGGCUUACCAAGGCUUUGACGGGUAGCCGGCCUGAGAGGGUGACCGGCCACAUUGGGACUGAGAUACGGCCCAGACUCCUACGGGAGGCAGCAGUGGGGAAUAUUGCACAAUGGGCGGAAGCCUGAUGCAGCAACGCCGCGUGCGGGAUGACGGCCUUCGGGUUGUAAACCGCUUUCGCCUGUGACGAAGCGUGAGUGACGGUAAUGGGUAAAGAAGCACCGGCUAACUACGUG